This 393-nucleotide ribosomal RNA is filed under the name uncultured bacterium. RNAcentral describes it as "bacterial SSU rRNA". It matches the Rfam family "Bacterial small subunit ribosomal RNA", at positions 29 to 425 of the family's 1533-position model. The record is from RNAcentral.
AUUAAACGCUGGCGGCAUGCCUUACACAUGCAAGUCGAACGGUAGCGCGGGGCAACCUGGCGACGAGUGGCGAACGGGUGAGUAAAGCAUCGGAACGUGCCCUGGAAUGGGGGAUAACGUAGCGAAAGUUACGCUAAUACCGCAUAUUCUGUGAGCAGGAAAGCAGAGGAUCGCAAGACCUUGCGUUCUGGGAGCGGCCGAUGUCGGAUUAGCUAGUUGGUGAGGUAAAGGCUCACCAAGGCGACGAUCCGCAGCUGGUCUGAGAGGAUGAUCAGCCACACCGGAACUGAGACACGGUCCGGACUCCUACGGGAGGCAGCAGUGGGGAAUAUUGCGCAAUGGGCGAAAGCCUGACGCAGCCAUACCGCGUGUGUGAAGAAGGCCUUCGGGUUG